Non-coding RNA from Drosophila melanogaster (fruit fly), 458 nucleotides. The record is from Ensembl. Lineage: Eukaryota; Metazoa; Arthropoda; Insecta; Diptera; Drosophilidae.
UUUAUUAUAAUUAAUAAACUCACUUCGUCAUCCACCGAUUGAAAUUGCCCACUAAAGGCUGACAGUAGCUCCACUACAUGACUGUAGUAGCUCCUUAAGAUGUCACCGGAGGAACUCAGCCUGCUGGACAACUGCUGUUGGAACACAGAUAUAUCCACGGAGCCGGAAAAUGCAAAAUGCAGCAGACAAGUGCCGCAGAUCUUCUCACAAAUCCUGGCCACGCCGCGAUUAGCGCGCUUGAAUAUAAGAACUAACUCCUGGAACUCAGCGAUAAACUCUGUUCCAUCUUCAAAAAAUUCCUCGUUGAACUCGGAGCCAUAGGUGAUCUUAAAUACCCCAGGAGCAAGCUGGCGGUCACACGCUUGGAUCAGAGGACGAAAGAGUUUCCGUUCCCUAUCGCUCAAAACAGCCAGAAUGCGAUUGUGACUUAAGGCCAGUUUGAUUAUACCAUUAUAUAA